Molecule: RNA transcript, 2166 nt
Organism: Meriones unguiculatus (Mongolian gerbil)
Lineage: Eukaryota; Metazoa; Chordata; Mammalia; Rodentia; Muridae
Gene: Prkcsh
Gene name: protein kinase C substrate 80K-H
Exons: 19
Source: RefSeq, a predicted model, not a curated record
UCCCAGCCCGGCCGUUCCCCGGGCUCGGGGCGCAAAACGGAAGUGACGUACGCUGGAGCAUUCCGUUUUCUUUCUGCUGCAGGAACCGUGGCUGCUGAGCCUAGCUGGUGUGGUGGCUUUUGAGCACUGAUUCAGCGUCGUGUAGUGAAAGGACAUCUCCUGUCUUCCUCCAGCCUGCGUCCUGCUGCAGAACACACUUCCGGUGUCGGCCGGCGGGGGACGGGAUGCUGCUGCUGCUUCUGCUGCUACCCCUCUGUUGGGCGGUAGAGGUUAAGAGACCCCGGGGAGUUUCCCUCAGCAACCAUCACUUCUAUGAGGAAUCGAAGCCUUUCACGUGUUUGGACGGCACAGCCACCAUCCCGUUCGACCAGGUGAACGAUGAUUACUGCGACUGCAAGGAUGGCUCAGAUGAGCCCGGCACAGCCGCUUGUCCCAAUGGCAGCUUCCACUGCACCAACACUGGCUACAAGCCCUUGUACAUCCCCUCCAGCCGGGUUAAUGAUGGCAUAUGUGAUUGCUGUGACGGGACAGAUGAGUACAACAGUGGCACCGGCUGUGAGAACACCUGCAGAGAGAAGGGUCGUAAGGAAAAAGAGUCCUUGCAGCAGCUUGCCGAGGUCACCCGAGAAGGGUUCCGCCUCAAGAAGAUGCUCAUUGAAGAGUGGAAGACGGCUCGGGAAGAGAAGCAGAGUAAGCUGCUUGAGCUUCAGGCUGGAAAGAAGUCUCUGGAAGACCAGGUGGAGGCGCUGCGGACAGUGAAGGAAGAAGCGGAGAAGCCAGAGAAGGAGGCCAAAGAGCAGCACCGGAAGCUGUGGGAAGAGCAGCAAGCUGCUGCCAAGGCCCGGCGGGAACAGGAGCUGGCGGCCAGCGCCUUCCAGGAACUGGAUGACAACAGGGAUGGGGUCGUCUCCCUGGCCGAGUUGCAGACUCACCCAGAGUUGGACACGGAUGCAGACGGAGCGCUGUCUGAGGAGGAGGCCCAGGCCCUUCUCAGUGGAGACACACAGACUGACAGUGCCUCCUUCUAUGACCGUGUCUGGGCCGCCAUCAGGGACAAGUACCGCUCUGAGGUGCCGCCCACUGACGAGCCUGCCCCCUCCACUCCGGAUGUGAUUGAGCCCAAAGAGGAGCAGCCACCAGAUUUGCCGCCCACAGAGGAGGAGGAGGAAGAGGAGCCAGAGGAGGAGGAGGAGGAAGAGGAGGAGGAAGAGGUGCAGGGGGAGCAACCCAAGGAGGCCCCAACCCCUCUGCAGCCCCCACAGCCUGCCAGCCCCACCGAGGAGGAGAAGAUGCCACCGUAUGAUGAGGAGACACAGGCUGUCAUCGACGCUGCACAGGAGGCCCGGAGCAAGUUUGAGGAAGCCGAACGGUCCUUGAAAGAGAUGGAGGAAUCCAUCAGGAGUUUGGAACAAGAGAUCUCCUUUGACUUCGGUCCCUCCGGGGAGUUUGCAUACCUCUACAGCCAGUGCUACGAGCUCGCCACCAAUGAGUACAUCUACCGGCUUUGCCCCUUCAAACUGGUCUCCCAGAAGCCCAAGCAUGGGGGCUCCCCAACCAGCCUGGGCACAUGGGGCUCCUGGGCUGGCCCUGAUCAUGACAAGUUCAGCGCCAUGAAGUACGAGCAGGGCACUGGCUGUUGGCAGGGCCCCAACCGCUCCACCACAGUGCGCCUGCUCUGUGGCAAAGAGACAGUGGUGACCAGUACCACAGAGCCCAGUCGCUGCGAGUACCUCAUGGAGCUGAUGACACCAGCAGCCUGCCCAGAGCCACCGCCAGAAGUGCCCACUGAUGGAGACCAUGAUGAGCUCUAGCCUGACCAGGCUGGUCUGGAACUCAGAGAUCCGCCUGCCUCUGCCUCCCAGAGUGCUGGGAUCACAGAACCUCGAGGCCUGAAGCCCGUCUACUCGCCAUGUAGCCUACGAUGACCAAGGCCCGCUCGCCUGCCCUGGGGUUCCUGGCUGUUCUCCAGGUAGCCGGAACCACUCCUGGCCCAGGCUAGCCAAGCCAUGCUCCUGAGGCCCCAGCGACCUCCAGAGAUAGACAAUGAGCCCACCUUUCGUGGAUUCUUGGGGGGGGGGUAAUCCCUGCGCCCUGCCUCCCCAGCUGCUGGGAGAUGAAUGGAUGACUUGACAUGUGACCUCAAAACAAUAAAUGUGACUCCCCACA